UUGUUUUUAAUACCUGAAUAAUACUCGACUGUGUAAGUGUAUUAUUACAUUUUCUGUAUCCAUUCCUCUGUUGAAUGACAUCUGGGUUCUUUCCAGUUUCACCUGUUUGGUUGUGUUUUCCUUUAAUUCUUUAAGGGAUUUUUAUGUUUCCUCUUUAAGGGUUUCUACCUGUUUACUUGUGUUGUCCUGUAUUUCUUUAAGGGAGUUCUUUAUGUCCUUAUUAAAGUCCUCUAACAUCAUCAUGAGAUGUGAUUUUAAAUCAGAAUGGUGCUUUUCCAGUGUGUUCAGUAUUUGCUGUGAUGGGAGAACUGGUUUCUGAAGAUGCCAAACAGUCUUGGUUUUUCUUGCUUAGGUUCUUGCCCUUGCCUCUUGCAAUCUGCUUAUCUAUGGUGUUAGCUGGUCUUGCUGUCUCUGACAGUGGCUUGAUCAUCCUUUAAGUCUGUGUGUCAGCACUCCUGGGAGACCCACUAUCACCUUGCAGGAUUUGGGUACAGAGAGCUGUGGCACAUGGUCAACUCUGGGAGCACAUGGAAACUGGAAGGAUCCUGUCCCACACUGCUUCUGGGCUCUUGUGUCCUGAAGGCUCCAGGUGGGUCCCUCAGAGCAAAAGUGGUAGUCUUACCUGUGCUCCCAGGUGUGUCAUCACUCCUGGGAAGCCCAGCUUUCUCCCAGCAGAUCUGGGCACAUAGACCUGUGAUGUGCUUUCACCUUAUCUGCAAAGGCCACUUUUUCAGUGUGAGCUUUCAGUCCAUAGCACAAGCUUUGUUUUAGCAAAACCCUUCAGUGAACAUUUCUUAAGCAACCUAUGCCAAUCUACAAAUUUUUUCCUUUUUCUUUACAUUUAUUUUAUGU
This 852-nucleotide long non-coding RNA is filed under the name Rattus norvegicus (Norway rat). Its description in RNAcentral is "long non-coding RNA NONRATT009661". Lineage: Eukaryota; Metazoa; Chordata; Mammalia; Rodentia; Muridae. The record is from RNAcentral.